Molecule: unclassified non-coding RNA, 244 nt
Filed under: Trichophorum subcapitatum
Lineage: Eukaryota; Viridiplantae; Streptophyta; Magnoliopsida; Poales; Cyperaceae
Description: ITS2
Source: RNAcentral
GCCCAUCCACGCUCGGUUGCCUCGCCACGUCCCCUGCGGCGGGCGCUGGCCCGAUGCGGACAUUGGCCCUCCGAGCCGCGAGGCGCGGUGGACCUAAGUGUGCGGCCGUCGUAUGUGGCCGGGAGCGGCGAGUGGUGGGCUACUGCGCACGCCACCCCGAGCCCCAUGCCGACAGAGGGCCUUGUUUGACCCCCUAACGAAGAGCGUGUCGUCGCGGCUUCUUGCUGUGCGGCAUCUUCGGACC